This 357-nucleotide ribosomal RNA is filed under the name uncultured bacterium. Its description in RNAcentral is "bacterial SSU rRNA". It matches the Rfam family "Bacterial small subunit ribosomal RNA", at positions 8 to 353 of the family's 1533-position model. The record is from RNAcentral.
AGAGUUUGAUCCUGGCUCAGGAUGAACGCUAGCGACAGGCCUAACACAUGCAAGUCGAGGGCGAGCGAAGAGGGUAGCAAUACCUUUGUCGGCGACCGGCGCACGGGUGAGUAACACGUAUGCAAUCCACCUGUAACAGGGGGAUAACCCGGAGAAAUCCGGACUAAUACCCCAUAAUAUGGGCGCUCCGCAUGGAGAGCCCAUUAAAGAGAGCAAUUUUGGUUACAGACGAGCAUGCGCUCCAUUAGCCAGUUGGCGGGGUAACGGCCCACCAAAGCGACGAUGGAUAGGGGUUCUGAGAGGAAGGUCCCCCACAUCGGAACUGAGACACGGUCCAAACUCCUACGGGAGGCAGCA